CGGACGGGUGAGUAAUGUCUGGGAAACUGCCCGAUGGAGGGGGAUAACUACUGGAAACGGUAGCUAAUACCGCAUAACGUCGCAAGACCAAAGAGGGGGACCUCCGGGCCUCGCGCCAUCAGAUGAACCCAUAUGGGAUUAGCUAGUAGGUGAGGUAACGGCUUACCUAGGCGACGAUCCCUAGCUGGUCUGAGAGGAUGAUCAGCCACACUGGGACUGAGACACGGCCCAG
RNAcentral lists this ribosomal RNA (232 nucleotides) under uncultured bacterium. Its description in RNAcentral is "partial 16S ribosomal RNA". It matches the Rfam family "Bacterial small subunit ribosomal RNA", at positions 99 to 334 of the family's 1533-position model. The record is from RNAcentral.